RNAcentral lists this ribosomal RNA (555 nucleotides) under Escherichia coli. RNAcentral describes it as "partial 23S ribosomal RNA". It matches the Rfam family "Bacterial large subunit ribosomal RNA", at positions 1216 to 1769 of the family's 2925-position model. The record is from RNAcentral. Lineage: Bacteria; Pseudomonadati; Pseudomonadota; Gammaproteobacteria; Enterobacterales; Enterobacteriaceae.
AUGCGUUGUUGGGUAGGGGAGCGUUCUGUAAGCCUGCGAAGGUGUGCUGUGAGGCAUGCUGGAGGUAUCAGAAGUGCGAAUGCUGACAUAAGUAACGAUAAAGCGGGUGAAAAGCCCGCUCGCCGGAAGACCAAGGGUUCCUGUCCAACGUUAAUCGGGGCAGGGUGAGUCGACCCCUAAGGCGAGGCCGAAAGGCGUAGUCGAUGGGAAACAGGUUAAUAUUCCUGUACUUGGUGUUACUGCGAAGGGGGGACGGAGAAGGCUAUGUUGGCCGGGCGACGGUUGUCCCGGUUUAAGCGUGUAGGCUGGUUUUCCAGGCAAAUCCGGAAAAUCAAGGCUGAGGCGUGAUGACGAGGCACUACGGUGCUGAAGCAACAAAUGCCCUGCUUCCAGGAAAAGCCUCUAAGCAUCAGGUAACAUCAAAUCGUACCCCAAACCGACACAGGUGGUCAGGUAGAGAAUACCAAGGCGCUUGAGAGAACUCGGGUGAAGGAACUAGGCAAAAUGGUGCCGUAACUUCGGGAGAAGGCACGCUGAUAUGUAGGUGAAGUCCCU